Molecule: ribosomal RNA, 416 nt
Filed under: uncultured bacterium
Lineage: Bacteria
Description: bacterial SSU rRNA
Rfam family: Bacterial small subunit ribosomal RNA
Source: RNAcentral
CCGAAAGGCAGGAGUGCCCGCAAGGGAGCGCGGAGACAGGUGGUGCAUGGCUGUCGUCAGCUCGUGUCGUGAGAUGUUGGGUUAAGUCCCGCAACGAGCGCAACCCUCACCUCUUGUUGCCAUCAGGUCAUGCUGGGCACUCUAGAGGAACUGCCCCGGUCAACGGGGAGGAAGGCGGGGAUGACGUCAAGUCAUCAUGCCCCUUACGUCCUGGGCUACACACGUGCUACAAUGGCCGGUACAAAGGGAUGCCACACCGCGAGGUAGAGCUAAACCCAAAAAGCCGGUCUAAGUUCGGAUUGGAGUCUGCAACUCGACUCCAUGAAGGAGGAAUCGCUAGUAAUCGCGUAUCAGCACGACGCGGUGAAUACGUUCCCGGGCCUUGUACACACCGCCCGUCACACCACGAAAGCCAG